CCAGCCUGGGUAACAGAGCAAGACUCUAUCUCAAAAAAAGAAAGAAAGAAAGAAAACGGCCAGGCGCGGUGGCUCAAGCCUGUGAUCCCAGCACUUUGGGAGGCCGAGACGGGUGCAUCACGAGGUCAGGAGAUCGAGACCAUCCUGGCUAACACGGUGAAACCCCGUCUCUACUAAAAAUACAAAAAACUAGCCGGGCGAGGUGGCGGGCGCCUGUAGUCCCAGCUACUCGGGAGGCUGAGGCAGGAGAAUGGCGUGAACCUGGGAGGCGGAGCUUGUAGUGAGCUGAGAUCCGGCCACUGUACUCCAGCCUGGGCGGCAGAGCGAGACUCCGUCUCAAAAAAAAAAAAAAAAAGAAAGAAAACGUCACCAUCCAGCUGGACCUAGAGGGUGCCUUCUACUUCACCCACCUCAAGACUUUCCCAGUGACCCAGUGCCCCAUCCUGAAGGCUUGCUUAGCAAGUGCUGACCCUGUGCUUCCCUACUUGAUGGCCACCAGUGAUGCUUGUCCCUGGCGACUCCCCAGACAUUCCACCUGGCAGCUGUGCUCCUUGAGCACUCAGUGGACCAUGCCGCUCCUGGCACAUGUACAGAUAUUUUGUCUACAACUGCCCAAGCCUCUUUCUUGGGAUCCCUCCUGCCCCUAGCCACAGAGUUAGUGACCUUGUCUGUGACCAGCAUUACUCAGACAUCCAGCCUUCCACUGAGGGCAAGGUCAGGCCCAGAGAAAGGGGGGUUGGGCCCUGGGGUGAAAUAAGAGGCUCAAACCUGCUUCUUUCUCCCAGGUAAUUUUCAAAGUUCUGGACCCAGCCAUUCCAGUAGAGGACCCAAACAACCCUGAGAUUCAGGGUAAUCAUCCCCAGCAGUCCUCCAGACCUCAGACUUUCUGACUGCGUAUCUGAGACCCACAGGCCCCCAGGGUACAGGAAGACACAUAUACCCCAGUCCUCUCCAGGCCUCAGCUGUGACCACUUCUGUGACUAUUUUGGGCACCCGGCCAGGAGGAGACCCCAGAAGAAUCCAUACUGGUACUUCCAGUGCAGCAAUAUCAAUCUCCAUAAUCCUGCUGCCUGUGACCCCCACAGUGGGCACUGCCAGCAUUCUGUGUACUACAGCCAUGUCCCUGGCUGUGCCUGCUGCAGGCCUGGCUUCCACAGCAGUGACCUGUGCUCAGAGGGCUUCCAGCAUGAAUUUGUGGGUGUGGACAUCCCAGGGUGACUGGGUGGGAUUUUCACUCCCCAGAUUGGCCAAGCCUUCCUCUCCCCAGGCUGCAGUUGUGACCCUUGAAACAAUGUCCUCAUGUGGUAACCAUCUGGGGCUGAAGCCUGUGCUGCCCCUGCACUCUGGGGCAAGACUGCAGCCACUGUGCCCCCCUCUUCUGGAACCUGGGAGAUCCCUGGGGCUGUAAGCCCUGUGGCUGCCAUGCUCAACACACUUUGCAACCAAUGUGCCACCCACUCCAGCUGGUCCCUCCGUUCGGGGUCCCUGACUUCCCACAACACCAGAGAAAGCAGAAAGGGAGAGGCUCUCAGCCAAAUGCAAGUGUGGAUGCUGCCCUGGGCAGGAACACAGCUGGGAGGAAAUACAAAGGCAGGAUCUCCCUAUGUUGCUCAGACUGGUCUCAGACUCCUGAGACUGGUCUCAAACUCCUGUGAUCCUCCUGCCUCAGCCUCCCAAAGUGGUGGGGUUACCGGUGUGAGUAACUGCACCUGGCCCAUCCUUCAGGUCUCUCGAAGGUAAGGCUAGAACUAGUGUCAUCUGCUCUCUACCCUGAUAUCGGGAGAACCCACUCCCGAUGGUUAACGCGGGUUCUUUUCUAUUUUCUAGGCGUCUCAGCUGGUUUGGGAAAUAAAAGGAAAGAGUACAAGAGAGAGAAAUUUAAAGUUGGGUGUCCAGGGGAGACAUCACAUGU
Molecule: non-coding RNA, 1912 nt
Organism: Macaca mulatta (Rhesus monkey)
Lineage: Eukaryota; Metazoa; Chordata; Mammalia; Primates; Cercopithecidae
Source: RefSeq, a predicted model, not a curated record